UAAAAAUCGUAACAAGGUUUCUGUAGGUGAACCUGCAGAAGGAUCAUUAGUGAAGAUUUGGGCAGGCCAUACGGACGCCAAAAAGUGUCCCUGGCCGCCUACACCCACUAUACAUCCACAAACCCGUGUGCACUGUCUUGGAGAAAGGCUUCAGAGAAGUUUUUUGUGGCCUCUCUUGGGGUCUUUCUUCGCUACAAACUCGAAUGGUUAGUAUGAACGUGGAACUUGGUUGGACCGUCACUGGCCAACAAACUAUACACAACUUUCGACAACGGAUCUCUUGGUUCUCCCAUCGAUGAAGAACGCAGCGAAACGCGAUAGGUAAUGUGAAUUGCAGAAUUCCGUGAAUCAUCGAAUCUUUGAACGCACCUUGCGCUCUAUGGCAAUCCGUAGAGCAUGCCUGUUUGAGUGCCAUGAAAUCUCCCACCCCAAGCGGUUUUUAAAUGAAACGGCUUGGCGGAUGGGGUCUGGAUGGGUGCCUCUGCCUGCGCUACCUAGCACAGGCUCGCCCGAAAUGCAUGAGCGCCUUGAGACACUUUGCAUCCGCCUCUCUGUUUGGGAGGAGGCGGCCAAGCAGUGUUUUUCUCCUGGCAUGGCAUGAUACGUCAUUUGCUAUGUCGCCUAAAGGAGGAAUGUUUGGUUGUGUCUGCGUGUGCUUCGAACUUGCCUCUGUGGCACAUCCCAAUUUCACUUCUGGUCUCAAAUCAGGU
This 710-nucleotide ribosomal RNA is filed under the name Malassezia restricta. Its description in RNAcentral is "eukaryotic LSU rRNA". The stretch from base 261 to 414 matches the Rfam family "5.8S ribosomal RNA". The record is from RNAcentral. Lineage: Eukaryota; Fungi; Basidiomycota; Malasseziomycetes; Malasseziales; Malasseziaceae.